GCUAAGACUGGAUAGGAAGAAAUAAGGCAUCUUAUUUCUUUUAAAAGACCUAGAACGGUAUACUUUAGGAGGGGCUUGCGCCAUAUUAGUUAGUUGGUAGGGUAAUGGUCUACCAAGACGAUGAUGUGUAGCUGGACUGAGAGGUUGAACAGCCACAUUGGGACUGAGACACGGCCCAAACUCCUACGGGAGGCAGCAGUAAGGAAUUUUCGGCAAUGGAGGAAACUCUGACCGAGCAACGCCGCGUGAACGACGAAGUACUUUGGUAUGUAAAGUUCUUUUAUCAAGGAAGAAAAGCAAGUGGUGAACCAUUUGUUUGCCGGUACUUGAUGAAUAAGCCCCGGCUAAUUAUGUGCCAGCAGCCGCGGUAAGACAUAAGGGGCAAGUGUUAUCCGGAAAUUAUUGGGCGUAAAGGGUGCGUAGGCGGUCUAGUAAGUCAGUGGUGUAAUGGCAACGCUCAACGUUGUCCGGCUAUUGAAACUGCUAAACUUGAGUUAGAUAGAGGCGAGUGGAAUUCCAUGUGUAGCGGUAAAAUGCGUAAAUAUAUGGAGGAACACCAGAGGCGUAGGCGGCUCGCUGGGUCUUAACUGACGCUGAGGCACGAAAGCGUGGGGAGCAAACAGGAUUAGAUACCCUGGUAGUCCACGCCGUAAACGAUGAGUACUAAGUGUCGGGUUAAACCGGUACUGAAGUUAACACAUUAAGUAUUCCGCCUGAUUAGUACGUACGCAAGUAUGAAACUUAAAGGAAUUGACGGGACUCCGCACAAGCGGUGGAUCGUGUUGUUUAAUUCGAAGAUACCCGAAAAACCUUACCAGGUCUUGACAUGUUUUUGCGAAACGGUAGUAAUAUCGUAGAGGUUAUCAGAAACACAGGUGGUGCAUGGUUGUCGUCAGCUCGUGUCGUGAGAUGUUAGGUUAAGUCCUAAAACGAGCGAAACCCUUAUCGUUAGUUGCCAGCACGUUAUGGUGGGGACUUUAACGAGACUGCCAGUGAUAAACUGGAGGAAGGUGAGGAUCACGUCAAAUCAGCAUGCCCCUUAUGACCUGGGCUACAAACGUGAUACAAUGGCUGUUACAAAGGGUAGCUGAAACGUAAGUUCCUGGCCAAUCCCCAAAAACAGUCUCAGUCCGGAUUGAAGUCUGCAACUCGACUUCAUGAAGUUGGAAUCGCUAGUAAUCGCGAAUCAGCAUGUCGCGGUGAAUACGUUCUCGGAGUUUGUACACACCGCCCGUCAAA
RNAcentral lists this ribosomal RNA (1239 nucleotides) under Iranian alfalfa phytoplasma U42. RNAcentral describes it as "bacterial SSU rRNA". It matches the Rfam family "Bacterial small subunit ribosomal RNA", at positions 162 to 1401 of the family's 1533-position model. Lineage: Bacteria; Bacillati; Mycoplasmatota; Mollicutes; Acholeplasmatales; Acholeplasmataceae. The record is from RNAcentral.